RNAcentral lists this ribosomal RNA (800 nucleotides) under uncultured bacterium. RNAcentral's name for it is "bacterial SSU rRNA". It matches the Rfam family "Bacterial small subunit ribosomal RNA", at positions 8 to 805 of the family's 1533-position model. The record is from RNAcentral.
AGAGUUUGAUCCUGGCUCAGGAUAAACGCCGGCGGCGUGCAUAACACAUUCAAGUCGAACGAAGCAUUUAUGCUUCUUCCUUCGGGGAGGAGCAUGAAUGACUUAGUGGCGGACGGGUGAGUAACGCGUGAGUAACCUGCCUUUCGAUGGGGGAUAACGUUUGGAAACGAACGCUAAUACCGCAUGACAUAUCGUUGCCGCAUGGGGGCGAUAUCAAAGAUUUAUUGUCGGAAGAUGGGCUCGCGUUGGAUUAGAUAGUUGGUGGGGUAAGAGCCUACCAAGUCUGCGAUCCAUAGCCGGACUGAGAGGUUGAACGGCCACAUUGGAACUGAGAAACGGUCCAGACUCCUACGGGAGGCAGCAGUGGGGAAUAUUGGGCAAUGGGCGAAAGCCUGACCCAGCGACGCCGCGUGAAGGAAGAAGGUUUUCGGAUUGUAAACUUCAGUAAGCAGGGACGAAGGAAGUGACGGUACCUGCAGAGUAAGCCACGGCUAACUACGUGCCAGCAGCCGCGGUAAUACGUAGGUGGCGAGCGUUAUCCGGAAUUACUGGGUGUAAAGGGUGUGUAGGCGGGACGGUAAGUCUGAUGUGAAAAUUAGAGGCUCAACUUUUAACGUGCAUUAGAAACUACAGUUCUUGAGAGUCGGAGGGGUGAACGGAAUUCCCGGUGUAGCGGUAAUAUGCGUAGAUAUCGGGAAGAACACCGGCGGCGAAGGCGGUUCACUGGACGACAACUGACGCUGAGACACGAAAGCGUGGGGAGCAAACAGGAUUAGAUACCCUGGUAGUCCACGCCCUAA